RNAcentral lists this unclassified non-coding RNA (345 nucleotides) under soil metagenome. Its description in RNAcentral is "partial contains 5.8S ribosomal RNA, internal transcribed spacer 2, and large subunit ribosomal RNA". The stretch from base 1 to 120 matches the Rfam family "5.8S ribosomal RNA", at positions 35 to 154 of the family's 154-position model. The record is from RNAcentral.
GAUGAAGAACGUAGCGAAAUGCGAUACGUAAUGUGAAUUGCAGAAUUCAGUGAAUCAUCGAGUCUUUGAACGCACAUUGCGCCCCCUGGUAUUCCGGGGGGCAUGCCUGUCCGAGCGUCAUUGCUGCCCUCAAGCACGGCUUGUGUGUUGGGCCUCCGUCCUCCUCCCGGGGGACGGGCCCGAAAGGCAGCGGCGGCACCGCGUCCGGUCCUCGAGCGUAUGGGGCUUCGUCACCCGCUCUUGUAGGCCCGGCCGGCGCUUGCCGACACAUCAAUCUUUUUUCCAGGUUGACCUCGGAUCCGGUAGGGAUACCCGCUGAACUUAAGCAUAUCAAUAAGCGGAGGA